UCAGCCAUCAUCCACGCAACCUCUCACGACGACUCAUCCGUCGACUACCACCAUGCUCACCGUGUCUACAAAUGGAUCCGCUCCUCUCCAGCAAACCUCAAGCCUCUUGUCCACUCGCUUUCCUCACGUGUUAACCGGACAAGAAGCUGGAUCGUUGCCUUGAAAGCCCUAAUGCUCGUCCACGGUGUCCUUUGCUGCAAAGUCCCGUCCCUACAAGAGAUGCGUCGCCUCCCUUUCGACCUCUCUGACUUCUCGGACGGUCAUUCACGUCCCAGCAAGACUUGGGGCUUCAACGCAUUAAUACGAGCCUACUUCUCGUUUCUUGACCAGUACUCUUUCUUUUUAUCCGACCAAAUCCGUUCCCGGACUAGAAAACCUCAGGUAGAUUCUGUUAACCAAGAGCUCGAAAGCAUCGAGAAGCUUCAGUCUCUUCUCCAUACGCUUCUCCAAAUACGUCCAAUGGCUGACAACAUGAAUAAGACGCUUAUUCUUGAAGCUAUGGACUGCGUAGUGAUUGAGAUCUUCGACAUAUAUGGUAAAAUCUGUAGCGGUAUAGCCAAACUACUAAUUAAAAUCAGUCCAGCUGCUGGAAAAGCAGAAGCUGUGAUGGCUCUUAAGAUUGUAAAGAAGGCUACAUCUCAAGGAGAAGACCUAGCUCUCUACUUUGAGUUUUGCAAAAAGUUUGGGGUCUCAAACGCGCAUGAAGUCCCAAAGUUCGUCAGAAUUCCACAAGAAAACAUUGAAGCAAUGGAGAAAGCCAUUAAAGGAGUUGAACAGAAAGAGGAGACAAGAGAGGAUCACGAGGAGGAAGUAGUGGAAGAAAAGAGUACCAUAUUAGUAGCUGAGAGGCCUCAGUUGAAGACAAUCAUAACCGAUAAAUGGGAGGUUUUUGAAGACGACUAUAGUUUCACAUGUAAGGAUAAUAUUAAAGAAACUGAUCAACCUAGAAACUACAACGUGGAUCCCAGUUUGUUGCCUCUUAUAGUUAUCGAUGAGCCAAUUUACUUGACUCACACGUUACCUGAUUUGAUUACCUUCUAAUUGCAACUUGAUCAGUUUUUUUUUUUUUUUAAAUUACUUUGUUUUUCUUCUGUAUUUUCUUCCUUUUUGUUGAAUAUGCGGAUGAUAAUUAAUAAACGUUAGAUAUUAUCUCAAAAUUUCCAAAUUUAUUCAGCAAUAAAAAGGUUUUUAAGAUUUAGCUUAUGCAGACUUAAUCGUUUGUGACCGUCUUAAACCCGAUCAAUUGUUUUUGUAACAGACCUUUAAUGUACAGUGUACCAAAAAGUAAUAAUAGAUUUACUAACAUCUGUGUUUGAAAAAAAAAGAUUCGCUAACAUCUAUAAUAUGUUGUUAGAACGUCAAAGCGAUAGCAGACUUGAGCAAAGUUUGCUCCAAGUCUACACUAGUCAUAUUAGACCUUUAACUUCUAAAUAAUGUCUUUAAAUUUAUAGUAGACUUGCUUUAAAUACGGUAGAAUGGAUCAAGAAGAAAAACUUGUAAGGACCAAGCAGUAGACGAGAUUGACAUUGUUGUAAUGCCAGGAUUAAGAUGUGUUUCAGUAAAAGAUUGGGCGAUAAUUUGAUAUUCUACAAACACUAAAAGCAACAAAACUUUGACCCAAAGUGAAAACCCAAAACCACAGAGAACAAGCAGAGUUGAUCAAAAUCUUGGUUUUUUUUUAGGAAGUUUCAACGUCUGAGAGAUCCAAACGUUCUCGGUAAAGCUCAAAGUCACAAGGGCUCCACCUGCAGACUAAGUUGAGUUUGAACGUAGCCAACUUGAUUCCCAGCAGACGCUGCAAUUAUUAUAUAAACAAAGUAUAUGAGCAAAUUUUAUGAAAACAAACAAAAGGAAAUGAUUUUAAAAUACAAAUUUUUAUUUACCAAAAUGCGGGAAGAUUCUGGCGAAAGAGGCUUUCCUUCUUCACAAACUACAAAGUCGGAUAGUAACUCAACCGUACCUAGAUAAUGUAUCUUUCAAACUAUUAUGUAUAGAAGAGAGAGGGAGACUAAAAGUGGCAAGAUUACAAACCUUUGUUGAGACGAACAGGCAUACCCUGCUUCCUUAGAAACGGUUCCAUCUCAUGUGUGAACUGUUCUAGAGGACCUUCCUUCAGUUCAACCUGACCAAUCAAUUGUACUAAAACACCAGUCAAGCUUGUUUGUUUAUCUAGAGACAACAAUAAAUAAAAUUGGCACUAGUUGUAAUCACAAACCGUUUCUACUGCAGUGCUACCAGUCCUUGAAAAGUCAGAAUCCUUGUAAGCGUUAAAUAAGCUACAAAGAUAACCAGAAGAGAUGGAUACAGUGUAAGCCCUUCAACUUGUUUCUCUCGUAUAAGGGCUUCAGAGAGAAAGAUGAUACCUUUCGACCUCUUCCUUUGGCAUAUCCGUAACAAGAAGUCCAGCAUCACCAUGAAGCAGCUGAAAAAAACAUUCCACAACAUAUGUAAAAAUAACAAAAAAUAAAAUACCAAGUAAUAUAAAACAACUACUGUCAAAAAGAAGGGUACACAAACCUUGGAGGCUUUAAAGAUGCCAGGACGGAUUUCAUCAGAAGCCGAACGACCGAGAGCAACCUGCAUGACUUUGUUCGAACCAAGGAAGAACCUGAACCAAUAAGAAGAACCAAAUGAUAUAUAAUCCCAGUUACGUGUAAGCAACACCCAUCUAUUCAUGACUACAGAAACAAAGAGACUGACCUUCCAUUGUGCCUAAACUGUUGUCUGAACUCCUUGAAUUUGAUGUUUCUCAUGUUUUCAAAGGAGAAAACAUAGACAGACGAAUAUUUCUCGACAGCCUCUCUGAUUCCAUUUACAAUAGACUCCUUGUGCUCCCUUCCUUUCUUCUUUGUCUUAGACAAAGUAACUGCACCAACAACAAAAACAAAACUUUUGAACCAUUCAUCACUUGAUUCCACCAUAUAAGCAAAGAUUUAGGUUUUCCAGAAAAGGGUUCCUCUAAGAACCUUAGAAAACCUAAACCCUUGACGGCGGCUACAACUCACAACUCCCCAGCUCAGUAUCGUUUUCAGACAACAGAACCAUGAAAGAAUCAAGGAAGAAAGAGUUCUGACCUGGCCUGUCUCGCUUUGAUUUAGGCAUAUCUUCUAGGGUUUCAGAUGGGAGUUGCUUUGACGCAUCUCAGAUCCCACAACAAAUUCUAAAUACAAACACGAACGAGAUCACCAUACAUACAAUACACGCAGAGAAUGGAGACAAAAGGACAACGAAAUCAACGGCAAUUGUGGCCCCUAUCAUAUAGAUGAAUAUAUAACCACGACCAUGAAACUUAAACAGUGGAGAAUUGAGGGAGCGAAGGAAUGUUAGGGUUACGAUUCCGGCGAUAAGCACCUUUGACGGCCUCUCUCCUGACUUACGUGUAGUGGAAGAUAGAGCAUCUCACCGCCACGCGCCUAUCCUUUUAAUGCUUUAAGGCCCGUUAAGGGUAUGGGCCAAGGAUUUAUGUUAAUGCAAUCGAGGAUUAGCAUAAUUAGACAUCUCAAGUAGGGGUCGACAUUGUUUGGUACACACUCUUCCUAACUUGUAUUUUUUUUUUUUUUUGGUAACUCUGAUAUCUGGACAGCCACAUUCUCGACUAUGCCCUCGUAAAGGGUCCAGCGCCCCAACGGAAGGGAUGUUAAAUCCGUUGUGGCCAAGGCUCGAACCCGGGUGGCGGACAGUACAGCUGUACUUCCUUUACCACCAAGCUUCGAGCGCUUGGUUUCCUAACUUGUAUUUGGUAAUAAUACAUGAGAAAUCAUCACAAAAACUACGAGAAUCAAAUGUGUAUAUAAAACAUAUAAAAUAAACAUAAAAAACAAAAGUAAUUAACCAAUAGUAUAUAAAACACUACGUACACAAACAAGAUAUCGAAACGGUUUGAACAUCUAUAUAUAAAAUAAUCACUGAGCAACACUCAUAGUAUUAAAUUUACUUAUAUCUAAACAUAAUGUUUUCUUUCUUGACAACAUAUUUGAAAAUUAAGUUUGAAUUGUAGUAAGGCAAUUUGAAAGACUAGUCAAGUUUUAGUCAAUGUUACGGAAGAACGCAAAAUUGGAACUUCAAAGAUAAUGCUAAUUUUUCUUGUAGUCUUUUUAAAUAAAGAUAUGUUGGUGUCACAGAAUCAAAAUUAAAAAUCUCUAUAAUUGUCGUGUGUAUAUACGUGCUGACGUAUGACGUUGACCGACUGUCCUAUUAACAGCUCAAGUAUUCUAGAAAAAAUUACUCCUAGAGACACUUUAUGAGUUUCCAAUUACACUUAGAGACACAUUGAACUUACCACACACAUUUCGUGUGUCUAAAGACAUUAACACUCUUUAACUAGACCAAACUUCACUUCUCAUUCUUUUUCUCUCGUAACUCAUUAUCAAACCUGACAAGUUCAUCUUUUUUUCCUAACUCAAUUAUACUUUCUUAAAUAUUCAAACCCUAAUACUGAGAGUUUAAAAAAAAAUCAAGAGAGGAUCGAUGGGUGUGAUGAUGAGACCAGAGCUUGUAAUGAAAUCAAUCGUGGAUGAGCUCAUGAAUCGCUGUGGAUGAGCUCUGGAUUCAUCGUGGGCGAGCUCGGGAUCCGCCGUGGGUGAGCUCGGAAUUCAGCGACCGUUUCACCGCGCCAAUCUCUAUUCCUAGAAAAACUCCAGAUUUGCUAAUCGUCUCACACGAUGUUUGCUUUUAUGGUGUGUUGUAGUAGAAUCAAUCGUUACGGUUUCGAUUCAAAAAGUCAGAUUUAGAACUCAAGUACCAAAUUCAUUUCCGUCUUCAUCAUGGGUAACAUCUAAAGAUUCAAAAUUUUGGUUUGGUGUGAAUCAGAAGAAGACUCUCUUGGUCAAUGUGUGUGUGGAUAUUGUUGAUGUGGUCGGAAAAGUUGUGGAUGAGGAUCAGUGGCUCUCUUGGUCAAUGUGUGUGUGGAUAUUAUUGAUGUGGUUGGAAGAGUUCUGGAUGAAGAUCUCGUUGUCAGUGGUUGUGUUGAUGUUGUUGAUGUGACCGGAAGAGUUGCGGAUGGGGCUCUCGGUGGUGGAUACGAAAGUGGUAAUAGAGGGAGAAGAGAUACUGGAGGUGGUGAUUAAUGUAAGUGAUGGUAGCUCGCUUGGUCAAUGUGUGUGUGGAUGUUGUUGAUGUGGUCGGAAGAGUUGUGGACGGGGAUCUCAUGGUUGUGUGUGUGGAUGUUGUUGAUGUGGUCGGAAGAGUUGUGGACGAGGAUUUCAUGGUCAGUGGUUCUGUUGAUGUUGUUGAUGUGACCGAAAGAGUUGCAGAUGGAGCUCUCGGUGAUGGAUACGAAAGUGGUAAGAGAGAUGGAGGAGAUAGUGGAAGUAGUGAUUCAAACAGAGGUGGUAAUUAAAACGAAAGUGGUAACGUAGGUGGAGAAGAUAGUGGAGGAAGUGACGAUAGCAGAUAUGAAGAUGAUGAUGGAGGUGGUGAUUGAAGGGGGGAUAGUGAUAAUGAAGGUGGAGGAAAGAGACAUUGGUUCAGUCCAGAGAAGAAACUAAAAAAAAUUAAAAAAACAACUCUUGGAUCAAAAAAAAAAACUUUUCUAAUUGUGUGGUCCAUAAACAAUUCACUUUAUCACAUAUAUAUAGUUACAACAUACUUCUCUUUAGACAAAAGCAGGGUUAACUCUCUCAGUAUUCUACAUAGAACUGAAAAUAAGAAACUGCAUAAGGAAUGCAUGGUUUUCAGAGCACCCUUAUCGGGGUAUGUUAAUGCUGUCUCUUAUGUUUAAUAGGGUUUAAAAAAAAAAUAAGAAAAUUGGGAGAAGACGUAUCUUAAAUAAGGGAAACAAGAGACGCGUAUUCUGAGACACAUGUUGUGUUUUGCGGGGUUUGUGUGUUUCUCUCUCUCGACGAAGCGUCUCCGUGUCUCUCUCCCCCGCUCCAUUUCGAUGAAAUCACCGCGCCUCUCUGUCUCUCCUCGACGAUUCCGCCUGCGAUUUCUUCAUCUUCGAUCGAUCGGAUGAAGGAUGUGGCGUCUCUCUCUCUCUCGUCAGGAACCUAACUGGAUCUUCAUCGGUAGGUUGGGGAGGUGGUGUUGAUCAUGCUAGUGAAUCGACAGCUAGUGGUAAUAAGCAUGGUUGGCAAUGGUACGAGGAUCCUAGGCUGGAUUGUCUCGGUUACAGAAGCAUCUUUCCUUCAGAUGCAACUCGUAAGGUUCUUGAUCGAAUCAAAGCUUUAGCUCUUUGGCUUUUUAUGCUGAUUUGACUUUGUUUUAUGUUUUGAAGCGCCAUUGUUUGAGGCUGAUAAAGAAACUGAUGAAAGCAAUUACCUUUUGUGGAGGUUAGAGCACGGGCCUGUGAUUGAUGCUGGUGGUAUCUUUGCGUAUGCAAGGAAAGCUGGGAUGAUUCCUUCUGCAGCUGCUUGAUUGAUUUCUUCGUGUCAGGUAUGAGAGAUGAAGAUUGUUAAUUUGUGGAAUGUGAUUGAAUAGUAUAGUACUCUUAGGAGCUUGAUGAUGAUGCAAAAAUCAUAGUUUUUUACCCCUUUUCUUGUUGCGAUAAUAGAGUGGUAAAGAUUCUGGUGUAGUUAGGCUCUGUUAGAUGAACAGUGUCAUCGUCAUCUUUCAUCAUGUUCUUUGUUAUGUAGUUAAAAGUGGUGUACGAGAGAUGAGCUUGAGUAGAUUGAUGCAAAAGGAUAGGUUUAGAUGAUGUUGUGUGAGGAUGAUAGUGACUGGUUAUAUACCUGAUGCUCAAGGGUAACUCCGACGUCGAAGGAGUUGUUACGUUGACUCAAGAAGACACAAGUCCCUUCUCAAUUUGCUCAUAUUGAUUCUAAUGUGUGUUAGGUCACUGCUUAGUGUUUGCAUCAUAUCUAAUUCUCAAUUUCACCAUCCUGUUCUUGCAAUCCGUGGUCAUAGGAGAGUUUUGAGUACUGGAAUUCUUUCCACCCGAUGACCGUUUAUGGUGAUGGGAAACAAACUUGAAGCUUUCAGUAUGUUUCUGACUUGGUAAAUAGAACAACUCUGUUUCAGUUCAUUCUGAUGUAUGAUUGGUUUCUCCAACAGUGUAAAAGAAUAUAAUGCAUAUAUAUAACAAGUUAUCUCUUAUCUAGGUGGAGGGACUUUUGCGUUAAUGGAAAACGAUCACGUAGGACCUUUCAAUCUUGGCAACCCAGGGGAAUUCACAAUGCUUGAGCUUGCCGAGGUUUGCUUUACUUUUACAGUCCGUUUUUUUUGUUUGGUUUGUGCUUCGGUUUUGGAUUGGUUUAAGAACUUCUUUUGAUUUUGUUUUGUGUCCAUCUUUAGAAACUUGCAUCAAGAUUUGAAAUGUUCUUUUGAACUCAGUUUUAGGAAACGAUGGUUUUCACAAGAAGAAUGUAAUGAAAGUGUGAUGAAAGCUCUUUUAACCAAAUAUUUUCUUAAGAACCCUAAAAUAGAAGACUUGGAAUGGAGGACAUAAAAAUUGAAAGUUCUUAACAAAGUCUCUUAACCAAAUUUACUCCUUAAAUACUAUUAAAAAUUAAUUAAGAGACCCUUAAUGAGUCUCUAGGAUAAUGAUGCUCUCAAGUGUUAGUGUUGUAUAGAAUGAAUAAGAAAAUACGUAACGAAUGCAUAGUUUUCAUUUUAAUAAGUGGUCGACGCUCACUGAAAACGCUCCGAGUUGGGAGUUGGGACGCUAAUAUGUAUUUUAAAAACUUUUUGGUUAGAAUCCCUCGUCGGAAGUGUUUUUAUUGGUUUAGAAAACUUUUAAAAUUAUUUUAGAAUUAUGAAACAAUAUUUUCUAAAUAACUAGAUUUUAUAAUUAAAUUUAAACAACAGAUAAUUUCUACCAAUCAUAAAUGCACAUUUGGAGGAAGGGUCAGGCAGCUCAACACUGUUGGGGAUUCUAGGGCAAUUUUUUUUUUUUACUCUGUAAAAUUUAUAUGCCGAUAAUGUUUAAAAUAUUUUUAAAAUGUAAUCAAUAAUAUUUUAUAUAUUUUGUAAUGAAAAUAAAAUUAUAUACAUAUCAAAUUAUUUUGGGUCCUUUUCAGUUUUAUUUAUUAUAUUUAUAAUUUUUAUAUAUAAAAAUAUAAAUUUUUUAAAAAAUUAGAUCCCUUAAUUAGUAUUAUACGGGGGGACAUAGGCUUGGAUCCGGGGCGGUCGCACCGCUUGGAUCCGGGGCGGUCGCACCGCUUGUAUUAAUUAAGAUUUAAAUUUCAACUUGUUAAAAUAAAAAUUUGUAAGCUGAACGACUAGUAAAAGCCUGCCCGGAGAAUGUUUUUGACAUUGAAGACAUGGGCAAUGGUAAAAGUAAAAUCCUUCCUUUAAACAAUAGGAGAGGAUGAUGACUUUGGCUGCAACCACUAUCUCUCACUCUCUGCUGUUGGAUUAUCCUAACUGACUUUGCGGAAAUGGAACACAGGUAGGAAGAGGGCAACAGUAGCACGGCCACGUGAUUGCACGUUGUGUAGGCAAUGCGUGAGGCAAAAUUAUGGAGAGGAAGUAAACAAAGGAGUAGAAGAAAAAGAAUGGAUAGAGAAUGUGUCUCUUCGACGUGUCAAGAACCAUUUUAUAUGUAAGCAAAAAAAAAAACAUUUCAUUUUGCUCUUCAUUUCAUGAUCUGUCUGAAAUUCAGGCCCCGAACGAACCGCUACACAAGAUAACAAAACGGUUAUAGAUAUGGAAAGACACCUCCAUUCAAAGAUUGGAGGGAAAGCACUCCUUAAAGAGGAGGCAAAUGGUGAUGGUGAUGAGCCCGAUGAAUCCACCGGUAAAUGAACAAAAGAUAGACUCUUCGACAAAGAGAGAUAAUCAUGUAAAAGCAAUUCAGUUUCUGUAAAAAUCUUGAUGAAUCCAUCAAAAAUUUUCAGGAAAAUAGCCAAAAAGACCAAGAUCCCCCAUUGAUUAUUGGGCUGUGAAACUGGGCUGAAGUUAAAGGCAGAUGGGCUUAUCAAGCCCACUAGCAAAUUGUUUUGGCCCAACCCCGCGAGCGUGACAACAGUAGAGUGGCAUCGCCGGUGAAGAAGAUACGCAGCAGAAUGAGCACGACGGCCGGCGGAAAGACGGGUUGAGUCCAGUGAGGGGAGCAAAGCUGAUACCAUCCUCCAGUUCGAUGGAUACGAGCUAAAGCGAUGUGGAGGAGGUCGUCUGACGCUAAGGCUUUCUCGGUGAGAAAAGCGGAGCUGCAACGAGAGACCAUAGGUUUCAAGCGGCGAGUACGGCGGCGGAUCUGACUUGAGAAGCCCAUAUCCGUAGGAACAAACGCUGCUCACCCCAGCUAGAGGUAGAAACUCGCAGAUCUGAGAGUCAGCGAUGGUGAGGAGCGGCAAUGAUGAAGCACGGCGUUUGCAGUUGGUGAAAAACACGGCGGAUGAAGUGGAAUGGAGAGCCCCCCAAGAAGAUUCGGAUGCGGUGAAGCCCGGUCCGUAAAUGAAAGGCCAACCGCUUUGACUCUCGACGGAAAGCCUUCUCCGGAAAGAUCUGUCAACGAAAGCUUUGGCGGUGACUGAAACGACGAAAAAAUCUGAGGAAAUGAAAGAGAGACAAGGACGGGAGCAAGAGAGAGAGAGGAGCUCGACGCCGGCGUCAAGAAAUGGUGGUUUCAAGGACACCUCGAUUCUCGUGUCUGAGAGGAUUUUAGGGCGAAUUUUUUUUGGAAUAGGCACUUACUUAUACAGCCGUAUUUGAUGCGUAUUGGCGUUAAAAAUAUCUUCUACUUAUUUUCUAAUUCUUGCACGUUGACUGCCUCACUCAAGAUUGUGGUUCUUCAUUAUAGUAUAAUCAUAUGAUCAAAUAUAGUAAGGUGAUUAAAACCGUGUCCUAAGGCCGACGUGCAAGAAACUAAGCAAAAACGUGUAGCGGAUUACACGUGCCAGCUUAUAUUUCUAUACUUGUUUUCAAUUAAAAAUAGACGAAAAACCCGUUACAACGGUCAAACGCAAGGGUGGCAAAAAAAAUAAAAUCUAAAAUAGAGACAAAGCUAACGUUUGAUGGUGUAAGAGAAAGAGAAGAAAAGAGGAGGAGGAGGAGGAGGGUGAUGAUGAAGCUAUGGAAACGAGCUUCCGGUGCUCUCAAAGACCGGAAAAGCUUGUUCUCCAUCAGCUUCUCCCGGAGAGCCUCCGUCCGUAACCCUGACCUUGACUCAGCCAUCAUCCACGCAACCUCUCACGACGACUCAUCCGUCGACUACCACCAUGCUCACCGUGUCUACAAAUGGAUCCGCUCCUCUCCAGCAAACCUCAAGCCUCUUGUCCACUCGCUUUCCUCACGUGUUAACCGGACAAG
Molecule: long non-coding RNA, 10188 nt
Filed under: Brassica napus (rape)
Lineage: Eukaryota; Viridiplantae; Streptophyta; Magnoliopsida; Brassicales; Brassicaceae
Description: long non-coding RNA (BNAP_LNC019953)
Source: RNAcentral